UACGAACCGUCCAAACGUUAUUCGGAUUCAUUGGGCUUAAAGGGUACGUAGGCGGCGCUUCAAGUCGGGUGUGAAAUCCCUCGGCUCAACCGAGGAAUUGCGCCCAAAACUGUCGUGCUCGAGGGAGACAGAGGUAAGCGGAACUGAUGGUGGAGCGGUGAAAUGCGUUGAUAUCAUCAGGAACACCAGUGGCGAAAGCGGCUCACUGGGUCUCUUCUGACGCUGAGGCACGAAAGCUAGGGGAGCAAACGGG
Molecule: unclassified non-coding RNA, 253 nt
Filed under: uncultured Pirellulaceae bacterium
Lineage: Bacteria; Pseudomonadati; Planctomycetota; Planctomycetia; Pirellulales; Pirellulaceae
Description: contains 16S-23S intergenic spacer region
Rfam family: Bacterial small subunit ribosomal RNA
Source: RNAcentral